UAACAAAAGAAUAUGAACAACAGGACACUAGACAAGUUCGGACCAGCCCACCUAAAACUAGACCAGUUCAGAACAGACCGGCUAAAACCAGACCAGUUCUGACCAGCCUACCUAAAACCAGACCAGAAAAACCUAGCUAAUACCAGACACGUUUGGAUCACCCCAGCUAAUACCAGACCAGAUCAGACCAGUUCAGGUAAAACCAGGACAUUUUGGACCACCCUAGCUAAAAACCAAAGCAGUUCAGAUCAGACCAGCUAAAACCAGACCAG
This is a non-coding RNA of Misgurnus anguillicaudatus (oriental weatherfish), 272 nucleotides long. Lineage: Eukaryota; Metazoa; Chordata; Actinopteri; Cypriniformes; Cobitidae. The record is from RefSeq and is a predicted model, not a curated record.